RNA transcript from Cucumis melo (muskmelon), 619 nucleotides. RefSeq lists it as uncharacterized. NCBI's taxonomy places the organism in Eukaryota, Viridiplantae, Streptophyta, Magnoliopsida, Cucurbitales, Cucurbitaceae. The record is from RefSeq and is a predicted model, not a curated record. The transcript has 2 exons.
UUCAAAACUCCUUAUUAGAAAUGAAGAGAGGUUCUAAGCUUUUGAAAAAUAUAGAAGAAAUAGAGAAUUCAAAUGAAAACACCAAGGAGCUGAAUGAUGUUGUUGUUCAUGAUCACUGUCCUUUCUUUUUGUCCAUCUUCAACUUGGUCUUCCAAAUUACCAUGGCCUUUUAUAGGUUUCUAGGUUUCCGAGUUCAUCGUCCGAUUCUGUCGUCAUCGGAAGAUUCUUACCCCGUUGACUCACAACCACCGCCGACAACGGUUGACCCACCGAUUGAAGAUCCGGUAGGGGGAGGAAGAACGUGAGUUCGCUAGACGGAAUCCGCCGCCGCCACCGCCCCCUAGCAACGGCGGUGGUGGUCGAACGAACUGAUCACCAGGUGGCGGUGUUUUGUGGUCUAAUAUGGACGUCCGGUCGACAGCCACUUACUUACACUGAUCAUGAAUUAAUGAAAAAAUAUAUUUACCAUAUGAAUAAAUGUAUUUGACUUAAUAUAAUUAUUAUUCUUAGAUCGAAGCAUUGUGAAAAUAGAGAGAGAGAGCUCAUAUAAGUUGUUUAAAAUUUCAUGUUUAUUCUAUUUUAAUUUAUAGAUUCUUAUACCUUCCACUAGUUUCAUAUC